This 790-nucleotide ribosomal RNA is filed under the name uncultured bacterium. RNAcentral describes it as "bacterial SSU rRNA". It matches the Rfam family "Bacterial small subunit ribosomal RNA", at positions 1 to 865 of the family's 1533-position model. The record is from RNAcentral.
UGCAUAAAACAUAUGGGUGGAUGUCGUGUUCACACAUGCAGUCGAACGGACCUUCGGGUUAGUGGCGGACGGGUGAGUAACACGUGGGAACGUGCCUUUAGGUUCGGAAUAGCUCCUGGAAACGGGUGGUAAUGCCGAAUGUGCCCUUCGGGGGAAAGAUUUAUCGCCUUUAGAGCGGCCCGCGUCUGAUUAGCUAGUUGGUGAGGUAACGGCUCACCAAGGCGACGAUCAGUAGCUGGUCUGAGAGGAUGACCAGCCACACUGGGACUGAGACACGGCCCAGACUCCUACGGGAGGCAGCAGUGGGGAAUCUUGCGCAAUGGGCGAAAGCCUGACGCAGCCAUGCCGCGUGAAUGAUGAAGGUCUUAGGAUUGUAAAAUUCUUUCACCGGAGACGAUAGUGACGGUACCCGGAGAAGAAGCCCCGGCUAACUUCGUGCCAGCAGCCGCGGUAAUACGAAGGGGGCUAGCGUUGCUCGGAAUUACUGGGCGUAAAGGGCGCGUAGGCGGAUCGUUAAGUCAGAGGUGAAAUCCCAGGGCUCAACCCUGGAAACUGCCUUUGAUACUGGCGAUCUUGAGUAUGAGAGAGGUAUGUGGAACUCCGAGUGUAGAGGUGAAAUUCGUAGAUAUUCGGAAGAACACCAGUGGCGAAAGGCGACAUACUGCUCAUUACUGACGCUGAGCGCGAAAGCGUGGGGAGCAAACAGGAUUAGAUACCCUGUAUCCACGCCGUAAACGAUGAUGCUAGUUGUCGGGCUGCAUGCAGUUCGUGACGCAGCUACGUAUUUAGC